RNAcentral lists this long non-coding RNA (421 nucleotides) under Cicer arietinum (chickpea). Its description in RNAcentral is "long non-coding RNA (CARI_LNC002404)". The record is from RNAcentral. Lineage: Eukaryota; Viridiplantae; Streptophyta; Magnoliopsida; Fabales; Fabaceae.
UUUUUGGUAGGAGAAGAUACGAGUUUACCUAACAAAAAUAAAUAAAUAAAUGGACAAACUAUAGAUAAAAUAUUCUAACUACUGUUGGGAAAAAUAGCAUAAGUUAAAAGAAUUAAAACACAAUCACAACACAAGAAUAUAACGUGGAAACUCCAAAACCGGAGAAAAAACCACGGCUGCUGCCUAAACCGACAACCAGAGAAUUAAUACUAUGUGAAAAUUGUUACAACACAUAGACUUCUCUCACUCACACCCCAGUACAAUCACACUCUUACUAAGCAAAUAUUUAAACUAAGUCAGAUAUAAGCUUAAAGUGCUAUUGUUGACUGAUGCAUUUGAAAACAAAGGACCAAAACCCAAUAUAUAGCCUUGGACUUCUCCUUAUUCUCCCACACUAAAGGAUGUGGGACUUGCAAUCAAC